UCGAUUCCCUUAGUAGCGGCGAGCGAAACGGGAAGAGCCCAAACCAACAAGCUUGCUUGUUGGGGUUGUAGGACACUCUAUACGGAGUUACAAAGGACGACAUUAGACGAAUCAUCUGGAAAGAUGAAUCAAAGAAGGUAAUAAUCCUGUAGUCGAAAAUGUUGUCUCUCUUGAGUGGAUCCUGAGUACGACGGAGCACGUGAAAUUCCGUCGGAAUCUGGGAGGACCAUCUCCUAAGGCUAAAUACUCUCUAGUGACCGAUAGUGAACCAGUACCGUGAGGGAAAGGUGAAAAGCACCCCGGAAGGGGAGUGAAAUAGAACCUGAAACCGUGUGCUUACAAGUAGUCAGAGCCCGUUAAUGGGUGAUGGCGUGCCUUUUGUAGAAUGAACCGGCGAGUUACGAUUUGAUGCAAGGUUAAGCAGUAAAUGUGGAGCCGUAGCGAAAGCGAGUCUGAA
Molecule: ribosomal RNA, 457 nt
Filed under: Staphylococcus aureus
Lineage: Bacteria; Bacillati; Bacillota; Bacilli; Caryophanales; Staphylococcaceae
Description: partial 23S ribosomal RNA
Rfam family: Bacterial large subunit ribosomal RNA
Source: RNAcentral